GAUGAACGCUGGCGGCGUGCCUAAUACAUGCAAGUCGAGCGAACAGACGAGGAGCUUGCUCCUCUGACGUUAGCGGCGGACGGGUGAGUAACACGUGGUUAACCUACCUAUAAGACUGGGAUAACUUCGGGAAACCGGAGCUAAUACCGGAUAAUAUAUUGAACCGCAUGGUUCAAUAGUGAAAGACGGUUUUGCUGUCACUUAUAGAUGGAUCCGCGCCGCAUUAGCUAGUUGGUAAGGUAACGGCUUACCAAGGCGACGAUGCGUAGCCGACCUGAGGGGGUGAUCGGCCACACUGGAACUGAGACACGGUCCAGACUCCUACGGGAGGCAGCAGUAGGGAAUCUUCCGCAAUGGGCGAAAGCCUGACGGAGCAACGCCGCGUGAGUGAUGAAGGUCUUCGGAUCGUAAAACUCUGUUAUUAGGGAAGAACAAAUGUGUAAGUAACUAUGCACGUCUUGACGGUACCUAAUCAGAAAGCCACGGCUAACUACGUG
Molecule: ribosomal RNA, 497 nt
Filed under: uncultured bacterium
Lineage: Bacteria
Description: partial 16S ribosomal RNA
Rfam family: Bacterial small subunit ribosomal RNA
Source: RNAcentral